This 244-nucleotide non-coding RNA is filed under the name unidentified. Its description in RNAcentral is "Listeriaceae bacterium T-box sequence". It matches the Rfam family "T-box leader". From Rfam's summary of the family: Uncharged tRNA acts as the effector for transcription antitermination of genes in the T-box leader family. T-boxes are found upstream of many aminoacyl-tRNA synthetase genes and some amino acid biosynthetic genes usually in Gram-positive bacteria. The anticodon of a specific tRNA base pairs to a specifier sequence within the T-box motif, and the NCCA acceptor tail of the tRNA base pairs to a conserved bulge in the T-box antiterminator hairpin. The record is from RNAcentral.
AAUCUUGCGUUGAUGAAGAGUAAGUAACAUGAUGGACGUUUUUUAGAGAGCUGAUGGUUGGUGCGAAUCAGUAGCGGAAAUGAUGUGAAUGGACUUCGGAGCGACUAAGCUGAACGGGAAUUCUCCUCAGUAGGAGUUAGCGAUUAGGCCUUAUCGUUACACAAGGCACCCCAUAGUUAUGUGGGAUUGAGUGAAUCGUUUUUUCGAUUAAUGAAGGUGGCACCACGGGUCUCCCGUCCUUAUC